RNAcentral lists this transfer RNA (72 nucleotides) under Candidatus Scybalousia scybalohippi. RNAcentral's name for it is "tRNA-Arg". It matches the Rfam family "tRNA". From Rfam's summary of the family: Transfer RNA (tRNA) molecules are approximately 80 nucleotides in length. Their secondary structure includes four short double-helical elements and three loops (D, anti-codon, and T loops). The record is from RNAcentral. Lineage: Bacteria; Pseudomonadati; Bacteroidota; Bacteroidia; Bacteroidales.
GCCCGUGUAGUUCAAUGGAUAGAACGGAAGUUUCCUAAACUUUAAAUCAGAGUUCGAUUCUCUGCGCGGGUA